UAGAUGGGAUUUGUAGAUGGACACAUCAUAUCUGGAGCUCUUCAGUUAUCCUGCAACAGUGUGACUCUUGUCCUAACUUUUUUUUCAGAUUGAGAUGGAUUAAAUCUGUGCCAGAGGGCCCAUCCCAGGUGUGGGGAUUCUCCCAAGCAGGAAGUCAAUCUGGAUGCCAGCAGUCAAGGUGGGCAGCGGGGAGAAGUGGUUGUUAUUGCUCAGCUCUGAAGCACAACAAUUUUUCAGCAGAUUCAUCGUGUCACAAGAGGGAUCUGCCCAGUGUCAAGGAUGAUGUUUGAGAUUGAGGCUUCAGGUGCCACUCCUAAUAAAGGCCACAGCCUUGGAAUCAGGAUGAAGCUGGAGCCUGAAGGAGCCAGGCACGCUCAGGAGAGGACAAGUAGCUGCCUUGCAGGGAUUUGGCCCACAUAACUCUGGACUCGCACUUUGGUUUUGGUUUCUUUAUUGUAGCUGACCAGAGACUAACAGGUGAUCAUGGGGCCCUCCAAGGCAGACUCAUUUCAGGUGCAGCGUGGAUUCCCAUCACCGAUCAUCCAAAAGAUAAGUCGGGGGCCACGGCCUGGAGAUGGGAGAGUAGCAGGUUGGGAAUCCCUGGGUCAGAUUUAAAAAUUGGCAGCGGGAAAAGCAAUCUUCUCCAAGGGCCUCUUAGGACGGCUAAAGGGAGAGGCUCUACUUUUGAUGGCAGCUUUCAGGCAGGCAGUGCAGAACAGCUCUGGUCUGUGUCGUGUUGUCCGGUGUGCCGUGUUCCCUAGUGUGUCUUUGGGGUCCCUUUUGCCUUCCCACCUCAAUCCCCUCACCACAAGCAUGAUGUGUCGUGUUUCUUGUCCCCCCUGUUUGUCACGUUCUGUGUCACGG
Long non-coding RNA from Melospiza melodia melodia, 864 nucleotides. RefSeq lists it as uncharacterized. The transcript has 3 exons. Lineage: Eukaryota; Metazoa; Chordata; Aves; Passeriformes; Passerellidae. The record is from RefSeq and is a predicted model, not a curated record.